GGCUUGUAGCUCAGGUGGUUAGAGCGCACCCCUGAUAAGGGAGAGGUCGGUGGUUCAAGUCCACUCAGGCC
RNAcentral lists this transfer RNA (71 nucleotides) under Salmonella enterica subsp. enterica serovar Newport. RNAcentral describes it as "tRNA-Ile". It matches the Rfam family "tRNA". From Rfam's summary of the family: Transfer RNA (tRNA) molecules are approximately 80 nucleotides in length. Their secondary structure includes four short double-helical elements and three loops (D, anti-codon, and T loops). Further hydrogen bonds mediate the characteristic L-shaped molecular structure. tRNAs have two regions of fundamental functional importance: the anti-codon, which is responsible for specific mRNA codon recognition, and the 3' end, to which the tRNAs corresponding amino acid is attached (by aminoacyl-tRNA synthetases). tRNAs cope with the degeneracy of the genetic code in two manners: having more than one tRNA (with a specific anti-codon) for a particular amino acid; and 'wobble' base-pairing, i.e. permitting non-standard base-pairing at the 3rd anti-codon position. Lineage: Bacteria; Pseudomonadati; Pseudomonadota; Gammaproteobacteria; Enterobacterales; Enterobacteriaceae. The record is from RNAcentral.